This 253-nucleotide ribosomal RNA is filed under the name uncultured bacterium. Its description in RNAcentral is "partial 16S ribosomal RNA". It matches the Rfam family "Bacterial small subunit ribosomal RNA", at positions 524 to 776 of the family's 1533-position model. The record is from RNAcentral.
GACAGAGGGUGCAAACGUUGUUCGGAAUUACUGGGCGUAAAGCGUGUGUAGGUGGCUGCGUAAGUCGGAUGUGAAAGCCCUGGGCUCAACUCAGGAAGUGCACCCGAUACUGCGUAGCUCGAGUACCGGAGAGGUUGGUAGAAUUCUCGGUGUAGAGGUGAAAUUCGUAGAUAUCGAGAGGAAUACCUGUGGCGAAGGCGGCCAACUGGACGAGUACUGACACUGAGACGCGAAAGCGUGGGGAGCGAACAGG